ACCAGCAGCCUUAUCACUCUGCAACUCACAACUGGCAACCCACUGAAGCUAAGCAGGUGUGAGCCUGGUCAGUACCUGCAUGGGAGACCUCCUGGGAAAAACUAAGGUUGCUUCUGGAA
Molecule: ribosomal RNA, 119 nt
Organism: Lepisosteus oculatus (spotted gar)
Lineage: Eukaryota; Metazoa; Chordata; Actinopteri; Semionotiformes; Lepisosteidae
Source: Rfam